RNAcentral lists this ribosomal RNA (490 nucleotides) under uncultured bacterium. RNAcentral describes it as "partial 16S ribosomal RNA". It matches the Rfam family "Bacterial small subunit ribosomal RNA", at positions 30 to 507 of the family's 1533-position model. The record is from RNAcentral.
AUUGAACGUUGGCGGCAGGCCUAACACAUGCAAGUCGAACGGUAACAGGAAGACGCUUGCUUCUUUGCUGACGAGUGGCGGACGGGUGAGUAAUGUCUGGGAAACUGCCUGAUGGAGGGGGAUAACUACUGGAAACGGUAGCUACUACCGCAUAACGUCGCAAGACCAACGAGUGGGACCUUCGUGCCUCUUGCCAUCGGAUGUGCCCAGAUGGGAUUAGCUAGUAGGUGGGGUAACGGCUCACCUAGGCGACGAUCCCUAGCUGGUCUGAGAGGAUGACCAGCCACACUGGAACUGAGACACGGUCCAGACUCCUACGGGAGGCAGCAGUGGGGAAUAUUGCACAAUGGGCGCAAGCCUGAUGCAGCCAUGCCGCGUGUAUGAAGAAGGCCUUCGGGUUGUAAAGUACUUUCAGCGGGGAGGAAGGGAGUAAAGUUAAUACCUUUGCUAAUUGACGUUACCCGCAGAAGAAGCACCGGCUAACUCCGUG